UACGGAGGGGGCUAGCGUUGUUCGGAAUUACUGGGCGUAAAGCGCACGUAGGCGGCUAUUUAAGUCAGGGGCGAAAGCCCGGAGCUCAAACUCCGGAACUGCCCCUUGAGACUGGAUAGCUAGAAUCUUGGAGAGGCGGGUGGAAUUCCGAGUGUAGAGGUGAAAUUCGUAGAUAUUCGGAAGAACACCAGUGGCGAAGGCGGCCCGCUGGACAAGUAUUGACGCUGAGGUGCGAAAGCGUGGGGAGCAAACAGG
Molecule: ribosomal RNA, 255 nt
Filed under: uncultured bacterium
Lineage: Bacteria
Description: partial 16S ribosomal RNA
Rfam family: Bacterial small subunit ribosomal RNA
Source: RNAcentral